CCUACGGGAGGCUGCAGUGAGGAAUAUUGGUCAAUGGACGGAAGUCUGAACCAGCCAUGCCGCGUGCAGGAAGACGGCUCUAUGAGUUGUAAACUGCUUUUGUACAAGGGUAAACCUGAAUACGUGUAUUCAGCUGAAAGUACUGUACGAAGAAGGAUCGGCUAACUCCGUGCCAGCAGCCGCGGUAAUACGGAGGAUCCAAGCGUUAUCCGGAUUUAUUGGGUUUAAAGGGUGUGUAGGCGGAUGGAUAAGUUAGAGGUGAAAUGUCCGAGCUUAACUCGGGAACUGCCUCUAAUACUGUUGAUCUAGAGAGUAGAUGCGGUAGGCGGAAUGUAUGGUGUAGCGGUGAAAUGCUUAGAGAUCAUACAGAACACCGAUUGCGAAGGCAGCUUACCAAUCUAUAUCUGACGUUGAGGCACGAAAGCGUGGGGAGCGAACAGGAUUAGAUACCCGAGUAGUC
Molecule: ribosomal RNA, 460 nt
Filed under: uncultured bacterium
Lineage: Bacteria
Description: partial 16S ribosomal RNA
Rfam family: Bacterial small subunit ribosomal RNA
Source: RNAcentral